RNAcentral lists this ribosomal RNA (334 nucleotides) under uncultured eukaryote. RNAcentral describes it as "partial 18S ribosomal RNA". It matches the Rfam family "Eukaryotic small subunit ribosomal RNA", at positions 1470 to 1796 of the family's 1831-position model. The record is from RNAcentral.
CCCUUAGAUGUCCGGGGCCGCACGCGCGCUACACUGAAGGAAUCAGCGUGGCUUUCUCCCUGACCCGAAAGGGUUGGGAAACCCGUUGAAUCUCCUUCGUGAUAGGGAUUGGGGCUUGAAAUUGUUCCCCAUGAACGAGGAAUUCCCAGUAAGCACGAGUCAUAAGCUCGCGUUGAUUACGUCCCUGCCCUUUGUACACACCGCCCGUCGCUACUACCGAUUGAACGGUUUAGUGAGGGCCUCGGAUUGGUCUCGGCCCGCUCUUUACCGGGCGGCGCCGUUGGUCGAGAAGACGCUCGAACUUGAUCGUUUAGAGGAAGUAAAAGUCGUAACA